This 75-nucleotide transfer RNA is filed under the name Desulfovibrio sp. RNAcentral's name for it is "tRNA-Val". It matches the Rfam family "tRNA". From Rfam's summary of the family: Transfer RNA (tRNA) molecules are approximately 80 nucleotides in length. Their secondary structure includes four short double-helical elements and three loops (D, anti-codon, and T loops). The record is from RNAcentral. Lineage: Bacteria; Pseudomonadati; Thermodesulfobacteriota; Desulfovibrionia; Desulfovibrionales; Desulfovibrionaceae. RNAcentral also lists the same sequence under 3 other names.
AGGAGCGUAGCUCAGGGGUAGAGCACUUGCUUGACAUGCAAGGGGUCAGCAGUUCAAAGCUGCUCGUUCCUACCA